GAUGUUCUAUUGCAGCAGCAGGAAGGAAACUAGAACAGGUGUCUUCCUUGAUGUUUUUUCACUUUAUUUUUUGAGAUAAGGCCUUUCAUUGGGCCUGGAGCUCAUGAUUGAUUAGACUGGCUUGGCCAGCAAGCUUCAGGGAUGCAUGUGAACCUGUAGCCCCAGCACUGGGGUUAAAGAUGCUUACCAAUGUGCCUGGCUCUUACCCACUGAGUCAUUGCUUUCCCCAGUCCUCACUCUUGCUCCUAAGUGCAAAAGUCCCAUCAGAUGUGAGUACUGUAUUCACAGAGUAGUCUAUCUACUCAGACAAGUAAGUGACCAUGCAUCCAAACAUUUCUAAGAUUUGUUCUUAGAACACUCUUAAAAGCAAGCUACUUAUUGAAACAUCUUGUUUGUUUGAAGACAAGUUUCAUGUAGCCCAGGCUGGCCUGCACUUCUGAUCCUCCUGUUUCUACCUCCCAAGUGUUGAUCACAAUGAGUGGAAUUUUUUUUCUUCCUGUGCACAUGGAUGUCUGUGAGUCCCAGGCCAGCCUUUCUACAAUUGAGUUCUAGGACAACCAGAGCUGUGUAAUGAAGCCCUUUCUCCAGAAAAAAAAAAGUUAUAUAAAAUGUUUUAUAGUAUGUCUUUAUUAAUAUGUAAUUUUAAAAAAUAAAUAAAUAAUCACGAGUGCUGGGAUUAAAGGCAUAUGCUACCAAUGCCUAGCAAGCUUGGGAGGCAGUAGCAGGCCGAUCUCUGAGUCUGAGGUCAGCCUGGUCUACAGAGUUCCAGUUCAGCCAGGGAUACAUAGAGAAACCAUGUUUACGCCGGGCAGUGGUGGUGCACGCCUUUAAUCCCAGCACUCGGGAGGCAGAGGCAGGUGGAGAGUUCAAGGCCAUCCUGGUCUACACAGUUAGUUGCAGGACAGCCUCCAAAGCCACAGAGAAACCCUUGUCUCAAAAAAACAAAACCAAACAAAAAAAAAAGGAGAAACCAUGUUAGAAAAAAAGGAAGGAAGGAAGAGAAAGAAAGAAAGGAAACUGAUACUUUGUAAUGGUACACUAUAAAAGAACCAGGAAAGUAAAGUUGCAGUCUCCCCAUGAACUGUAUUUAUGGUUUAAAGUUCUGAUACUAAAAGAGCUUAAAUUAGGAAAUGAUUAUUUUUUAAAGUUCAAACUUAACAGAGAUAAGGUUGCAAGUCCUAACUUUUUUUUUGGUUUUUCGAGACAGGGUUUCUCUGUGGCUUUGGAGGCUGUCCUGGAACUAGCUCUUGUAGAGCAGGCUGAUCUCGAACUCACAGAGAUCUACCUACCCUCUGCCUCCCAAGUGCUGGGAUUAAAGGCAUGCGCCACCAACGCCCGGCUUGCAAAUCCUAACUUAUUUUAACCUAUUAAAGAUAAUUAAAACAUGAAAGUUAAUGGUCAGUCACCUUAUAUAUUAUCCAAUUCUUUAAUGUUCUCAGAACUAUGCUUGUUCAAAUGUAAUUCAUUUACAACAACAGUUUUAUUUAGCCUCCUGUAUGUGUUUUUAAGGUUAAGUCUAAAACUUGUAACUAAGAACAAAGUUUGUUUAAAAUCAGGUAUAUUUAGUAGAUUGCUGUUCACAGACUCUUCAGAGAUCUUCUGAAUGUGGCAUUUAAAGGUUUAAAGGUUCUGACUAUCUUGUGAUAGUCAGAAAUGCCGGCUCCUAGAGGCCAUCCUAAGGUCUCCAAAGAAGACUAUGGGGCACAGAUGAUGCUACCUGGAUUGUGGUAAUGCUAACCACUAAGGAAACACUGCCCCCUGCCUCAGCUGCCACCAGGACCCUGCCCAAACUGUGGGCAAGCAGGACACUGGAGAGUGCCACACUUUGCCUAGACAAGCUAGGCCAGUCCCCCAAGUUCCUCCACCACUGGAAAGUCUCUCAGAUCAUCUGGGCUUAGCAGUCAAAGACUGACACUGCUCUGGGACCUCUGCUCACAACUAAGCCAUCGAGACCCCAGGAGCCUAGGGUAACUGUCUAGGUAAUGGCACCAGGGUGGUGGCACACACCUUUAAUCCCAGCACUGGAGAGGCAGAAGCAGGUGAAUCUGUGUUGGAGGCCAGCCUGGUCUACAGAGCAAGUUCCAAGAUGGCCAGGGCUACACAGAGAAACCCUGUCUCAAAAAAAUAUAUAUGUAAGAUUCAG
RNAcentral lists this long non-coding RNA (2143 nucleotides) under Cricetulus griseus (Chinese hamster). Its description in RNAcentral is "lncRNA (ENSCGRG00015039787.1)". The record is from RNAcentral. Lineage: Eukaryota; Metazoa; Chordata; Mammalia; Rodentia; Cricetidae.